UCAAGAAGGCAGCUCACCACCACCUUCUCAAGGGCAAUUAGGGAUGGGCAAUAAAUGCUGGCCCAGCUAGUGAAGCCCACAUACCGUGAAUGAAUAAAAGAAAAAUUGAACUCACAACAGAAAGUUAAGGCCAAUGAUCAAUAGUGUAAGUACUCUUAAGGCACCAUGAUAAUUGUUAGGGAGACCAUCUUAUUGAAACAAUUAAGACUCUGAGGUGAAUUGAUGAGGUAGAGGCUGAGAGAAUGUUACUCUUAUGUUGGAAUCUAGAACUGGGGGCACAGUUUCAAAAUAAGGCGUCUCCCAUUUAAAUAGAGAUGAGGAAUUCCCCGUCUUACAAGCACGGCCUGCAAACUCCCCUCUAAGCCAGCCACUAUCCUGACUUGGAAUUGUAUCGCUGUUCCUUCACUGUCACUGGGUCAAAAUCCUUCAACUCCCUCCUAACAGCACAGUGGAUGUACCUACACCAUGUGGACUGCAGUGGCUCAAGAAGGCAGCUCACCACCACCUCCUCAAGGGCAAUUAGGGAUGCGCAACAGGCACUGGCCCAUAUCAUGAGAAAGAAUAAAUAAAAAUAAGAUGGUUGUUAAUCUUUGGAAUUCUCUUACCCACAGAGCAGGGGAGGCUGGGUCUUUGAAUAUAUUCAAGGCUGAGUUAGACAGAACUCUGAUCUAUAAUAGAGCCAAGGGUUAUGCUCUUUUUGACUAAACCAAUAAAAAACAAAUUAACAAAAGAGCAAAUGAACAAAUUAAAGGGACAGAGCCUGAAGGUGAACUGCAAUAAAAGACAAAACACGAAGGAAGCUUACAAAGGUAAAACCAAAGUGUGAUUGUGCGAGUCAGUAAUGCACCCCAGUCAUCGCGGUGCCCACCGGUCACAGAAGGCAUCAAUAGUACCAGCAAACACUGCAUGGUCCCUCUCCAUGGACACUCGGUCAUGAACUUAGCCGUGGAAGAGAGGCAGACAAACCCUUCGACCACCUGCUGCCUGGACCUAUUAAUGGCCGACUUGGCCAGGCCCAGGAGCAGGUUCACAAGGAGGUCCUCCUACCUCCCCGGCCCUCCUCCACACCGGGUGGCCCGAAGAUUAGGAGAGUGGGACUGAAGCACAAACAAAAAUUAAGUCAUAACUUUUAAAUUUUAUUUAUGCCUACAACAACUUACAUAUGCAUGGUCCGCAAACUCCACAAGGCUGAAAAACGCAUAGGCAUCUUGGGAGUCCGUGAACUGACACAUCCUACGGUUGUAUGGGACUGUUGCAUGCGACACCCUCCACCCCAAGUCCCUGAUGGUAAGAGGGAGGACUCCCAUGUAGAGAGCCCUCCACUGGGGACCUCUGCCCUCCUGACAGCAACAGGGCACACCAAGGCGUGUCCGGAUGAUGGGCUAGGACAAGGAGGCGAAGAGUGUGCAACAGCAGCCUGUACAGGAACCCCCUCUGCACCGAGCUAAAAGGCACAGAGGGCAUUUCCAUGGCUUAGCUUGCGGGGCUCCUGCUCCUGAGAUGGGUUCGGGGCUUAGGGCCAAUUCCAUCUGAGCAGUGGUUCGCUCAGAUGGGAGUCCACAGCACACCAGCGCCUCCUCCAGGCCUCAUGUGCCUUUGGAACUGAGCACAGCUGUUUUAAAGUUGUGGAAGGCAUUGGCCAUGAGCUGGACAUCCAACGAUGCAUGACGUGCCAAUUCAUGGGGUGUGUUAGGGGGGAAUAUAGGGGUACAGUAAAAAUUUAUUGUAAGGGAAUGAUACUGUUGGAAUCUCCAAGCAGCUAGUGCCUGCAAGUAUAUAAACAGUUAAAAAGCACCACAUUAACCUUGUACACCCUCAGGGCCUGUGAUCAUCAGCAAGGUCCUGGGAACCAGGCUGGACAUAGAGGAAGGCAUAGAUUAGGUGUCCUACGAGUCAGACUGGAGACUUAGGUUGUGAAAAAAACAACUAAGAUUGAGCCUGUUUACAGCAGAUAGGGAAAGAACAGAUGGUCCCAGUUCAGAUAGAAGGGAAAGUCUCUGCCUGGGUAAACAUAAAGUCAAGUGAUUACCAGAGAUGUGUUUUUAAUGUAAACCUAUAUGUUGAUGAGAUCAGAAUCUGGAAACUGUUCUUGUACGUGACCCAAUAUGCUGAACACUUGUAAUUUAGCAGAGUACUGUCUCAAGCUGCAUUGAGAUGGCUCUUGCCUUGCAAUUGCUCGAAUAGACAUUCGUGACCUGUUCCUGAGACUCCUGUUUGUCAAAGUUACCACAUCAGUUUGGCGUAGUCACCAGGAUACUCAGAUCAGAUCCUCGGGACAGCUCUGCAAAGUGGAUGCUGCUAGAUCUGUUUCCAGCAUUUCUGUUUUUGCUCCUAUUAAAUCCUCCCAGCAUUCAUUGAACACAAGAUUAAAGAUUCCUCCACAUUGUCCCAAAAACGAGCACAACCUCCAAAGCCAAGGUUGUUGCAUGACUCUGUCGUUUCACAGGUAAUCUGCACCAGGGUCUGUAACACAGCCCAAAGAGACAACCCAACAUCGACAAGCUAUCACAUCCCAGAGGACAAAGACAAAUGUUUGGAAGCGGCAGUUUUGAACUGCUUGAAAGAGAGAAAUCGGAUUCAGAGGGUGCAUUUGGGUGUGAGGUUCAUAUAUUUAAUCUUACAUCACAGAAAGUUACAUCAUGCAAGCAACAGUAGUUAUUUCUAUCUAAUGGGCAUCUUUAAUGUGGAAAAAUAUCCCAAGGCACUUCACAGGAUCAUCUGCAAAUAGAAUUUAACACCAAGACAUGAGGAAAGGGCAAACAGUUAAAUGAUUGUUUUCAUUUGGCUCCAUCUGUGAUAAAUGAUGGGAAAGCAGGACUUUGGUGGGGCCAGAUGAGAUCUUCUGCUGUUCUUCUUUUGAGGUCUGAACAAGCCAAGGUAAAGUCUGCCUCGAGGGCCACUCAUGAAGCUGCAUUUUGUUGAUGGUGCGGUGCGGGGUGAUGUCUGCUGUUGCUUUGUUUCAGGGCCGUCUUCUGCUUUGCAACUUCUGAAACUACAUGUCAUCAUGGUGGCAAAUCCCUACCCACAGCUGCUGUUCUCAUUUGCACUGAUAGUCAGCUAGAGUUUCCCACUUUGUCAUUUGCACUGAUAGUCAGCUACAUUUUCCCACUUACCAUAAAUGACGGAUGUGGAGGGCUUUCCUGUCUCUUUUGACAGCAUCCUUGAAUGGGAGUUCUGGACACCUAGCUAGUCUCUUGCAAUGGGUUAGCUCCCUGUACAACAUAUCCUUGGUAAUGUGGCCAUGUUCUAUCCUCUGCCCAAGCCAACAAUGUCCUUGCUUGAAUAGCUCUAUAUAUUUGAACGGACUUGGUGACUUUCCCUUUCCAUGUGAUGGCGAGAUAGCGUCAUAGACACUGGACAUGUAAAAGAAAACUUUCAUUUACAGGAUGUGGGCAUCGCUGGCAAAGCCAGCAUUUGUUGCCCAUCCCUAACUGCCCUUGAACUGAGUAGCUUGCUAGACCAUUUCAAAGGGCAGGUAAAAGUCAACUACAUUGCUGUGGGACCACAUUCAGUAUCUGUUUAGAGAAAAACAGAGUUAACAUUUGAGUCCAUAUGACUCUUCUUCAGAGCUAAAGAGAAGUAGAGAUGUGAUGGAAUUUAUACUGUUUAAGAUGGGGUGGAGCAGGUGAUCUAAGACAGAAGGACAAGGAUAGAUGGGACUAAGGAGAGAUUGACAAAGAUGUUGUAGGCACAAGGCAAAGUGAGUGUUAAUGGUAGUGGUGAAGACUAAAGGUCGUGCUAAUAGUGGCAUAAAGGUAAUAUAGCAGAAGGUGUUCAUAAAACAUGAGUCGCUCUGUGAAAGAACAACAUAGAAACAAGUGAUAGAUGACCCUGUGGGGGGGUCGGGUGGUGUUGAGGAAAAAAGAUAAAAUGAAAUGAAUAAAAAGCGAUGAAAAAUAAAAAUAAAUUUUAAAAAAGAGAUUUAAAAGGAGUAAAGGUAGAGGAGAAAGUUCACAGUCUGAAGUUGUUGAACUCAACGUUCAGUCCAGAAGCCUGUGAAGUGCCUAAUCGGAAGCUGAGGUGCUGUUCCUCCAGUUUGCGUUGGGCUUCACUGCAACUUUGCAGCAGGCCAAGGACGGACAUGUGGGCACGAAAUCUAAAGCCCCCAUUGGACCUAACGCUCUCAGUAGAUGGCCUUACUGAAUGAAUGAAGGGGAAAGCCGAGGUCACAGUAGAGACCCCUGAGUGGGGAGGGGCAGGACAUGGCAACCAGUAACUACAUCCUACCAAUUUGAGUACAUAUCCAUCAUUAUUCUCCGUCUCCUAACUGAUACCCUACCCAGGUUCGCAAGGAGCCUCUAUUCUUGAAAGCUGCGUUUAAUUCAAGUACAGGUAGCCUCCCUGAUUUUCAGAAUGCGUACUGGACUUAGCGCUUCUCUAUAGCUACCAGAGUGUUGAGAUUGUUAUAAUUAGAGGUCACCUUACUGUCAGCUGCUUAGAGCAGGCAAAUUGUGUUAACACCAGGAUGCCUGCUACAAGUGCUGAGGAUUGUAAUAUCUUUGCCCAAACAGCUGUCUCCUUUGGCCAGUGGUAGAGAACACACCAAUACUGUUGAAGGCUUCAAUUUACAGCCUGAGGAAAUAUGAAAAGUGAAAUCAAACCAAUGACCCUGCACUGUUAAAACCCUACAAUACAAUGCCUAAUAGUUGGCACUUAGCAAAAAAACAGCGACAGAAAUAAAGAACUUACUUUUAUACAGGUAAUUUCACAUCCUCAAGCAUGGCAUAAGCCACUGAAGUACUUCUGAAGUGCAAUCACUGUCAGAGGGAACUGCAUAGAUCUGCACACAGCAGGAUCCCACAAACCGGAAAUGAGAAAAUUGAUGGUUCUCAUGGCACUGAUUGGCCAGGGCAUAAGGAGAACCACAUGAGGAGAGCUUUCAUUUUGAUUAAUCUCCACGGGAUCUUUUCUAUCCGCCUAAACAGGUACUUGGAGCCUCAGUUUAACAUUUUGUUCAAAGAGAAAAUCUUCUCACAAUGCUGCACACUCUCAGUACUGAAAUCAAGUUUCACCCUGGAAUACAUGCUAACGCGCUGUAGUGGGGCUUGAACUGAGCAUUAUCUAGAAGGCACCUUUUCCUCUUUGGUGUUCAUUGCAAGAGCCGGGCUGCUGGGAAAUGGGGUGCCGCUUGUGCUCGAUUUUGUACCAGGGCCUCCAUGUUUUCCAACAUUAAGCCAAACCUGGCUCCUGAAGAUUUUACAUUUCUGUGAAAAUUAUUCUAGUUUUUGUUAUACUGGAGCAGGCCCAAUGACCAUAUGGUUUACUCCUAUCCUUAUUUCUUGUAUUCUUUACAUUAGCUGUGCAGGCAGCUGUUUAAAGUAAAUGCAUUGCUUUUGAAAUAUCUGUUUACAUACCAAAUACGUAUGACAUUUGGAAUGGGAAAAGUCUAAGGAUAGAUUAAAGGGACCACCUAGUUUAGAUCAUUAGACAUAGAUGAUAGUAUUAUUGUGAUUAAACAGACAAUCCUCACUACGGUGAGCUCUGUGAAGAGAUUCACCUCUUUCAUAAGGGAACCAGAAAUGUAAUAAAUGUGACAUAAAUUAACUCUGCAACAAUAUUCAGUUGAUUGAAGGCACUAAAAAAAUUAUAUUGAGACAAACAGGUUUUCCUUGAAUGGAGUGUGAUAGUGAAAAUCACACUGAUAAUAGUUACUCUUAUCCAACUGCUGGCUGUAUGGGGAAUUCAACGCUGAUAAAAUUAAUCAAUGGACAUAAAUUUAGAUCAGAAUGGAGGCCAUCAGAAACCUCCCCAUCAAUGGAAAGGCUGCCUCCCUUCAGAAUAGAAUUUUACAGCUCAUGAGAGCCCCUCUCUUCUGCUUUUUAAACUGGUUGACUAAGUAUCUACAGUGUGUGCCAGCUCAACAUCAUCUGAAGGAGUGUUCUAGACUUUUCAAUUACUUCAGUUAUAUUAAUGUGGAAUUGUCCUCUUGUCCAAGUUAAGAGGUUGUGGCUUCAAUCCCAUUCCAGAGAUUUGAGCAUAUAAUCCAGGCUGACAUUCCCAGUGCAGUUCUGACACUCCCAGGGCAGUUCUGAGAGAGUGCUGCACUUUCAGACCUCACCCUUGAACUUCCAAUGUUGCAUCUAAUGGCCAAAAAUCUUUGAUGAAUCCCCAAUAGAAGGAAACCUCUGUUAUUAUUUUAAAUUUAAAUGAAUAUUGCACAUUAUGCUGAUGAACGUAGAUGAUCCCACACAGCAGUACUUUGAACAAAAUUAAGGAAGUGCUCCUGUAUCUGACACCAGGCCUCUAUGUGCAAUUAGGUGUCAGUCUUGGCUCUGCGCACAGCACUGAGGAUGUGGGCAGUGAGAACAAGGCCAGCAUUUAUUACCCAUUCCGAGAUGCCCUUGACAAGGUGGGUGGCAGGUCUGCUUAUUGAACUGCUGCAGUCCAUAGGGUGAAGCGCUAGAUAGAAGUAACUAAUACUGUGCGAUUAGCUAGGCAGUUCCAGGUUUUUGAAUGCAUGAUGAAGGAAUGGCAAUACAUUUCCAAGCCAGGACAUUGUAUGACUUGAAGGGGAAUUAGGAGGUUUUGGUUUUCUGAUGCACUUGCUGCUCUUGAUGUUCUGGGUGGUGAUGAUCAUGGGUUUGUUAAGAAGCCGUGGCAGGUUUCUGCAGUGCAUCCUCUAAAUGUGGAAACACUCCCAGCUGCUAAGACAGGUAAAACAUGGAAUGAGCAGAGUUGAGGGAGGAGCAGUGCGCUAUGCACAGGUGCCCUUACACCUGUAGCUUAAACUUAUAGAUUGAGUCACAAUGUGCCCAAUAUGAGAAGCAUGUGGUCUGAAGCAGUGGAGAUGAGCACACUGGGGUAGGGAGAAAGACAAAGGGAAGUCAGGUCGCUGAUGUCGAAUCUCUCUGAUCUGCAGAAUUUCUCUUACAGAAGAGGUGUUAAACCAAGGCCCUGGCUGCCCUAUUAGCUGGAUUAAGAGAUGCAGCUUAAUUUUUUCAAAGAAGAGCAGUGGCGUACCUCUCUGGUGUCCUGGUCAAUACUUAUUCCUCAUCCAACACACAAACCAGAUCAAUUCAUCAUCAUCUCACUCAGGUUUGAGGGAUCUUGUGUGCAAAUUAACCACUAACUCACCAAAAAUGAUUCAAGAGUUUAACUGAUUCGCCAAACAUGAGGACAGAGCUUAACUACAUAACCAAAUACUCAGCACACACAAGGAGAGAGUUUAACUGGAUCAUCAAUACCACACCAGACAGUGCAUAACGGGAUCAUCAAAUAUGAGAACAAGCUUUAAUUACAGACAUUGCGCGGAAUUUUAGGGCCGUUUUGGCAUGGACGGUGCUGUAAAACGCGGUGAGCUAUUAAAAGUCCAUUGACUUCGGCAGGGCUGUAAAAUCAUACUGGCUAAAAUUCCGCCCAUAGUAACCCUCGCGAAUAUACUUCAAACGAUCCAAUUGCUGCAUAAAAUUAAGCCUCAUGAACGGUCUCGCAAGAGGGCUCCAAAAUAUCCAGACUUAUUAAAGCUAUUCAGAAUCAUAGCAUUUUGUCAAUUGCUGGGCUCUGCUCCUCCCCAGAUAGAUCAUGGUAAACAAAAUAAAGAGAGGUGAUGGUGUAGUGGUAUUGUCACUGGCCUAGUAAUCCAGAAACCCAGGUUCAAAUCCCACCAUAGCAAAUAGUGGAAUUUGAGUUCAAUGAAAAUGUGGAAUUAUAAGUCUGAUAAUGACCAUGAAACCAUUGCUUUGUUAUAAAAGGCCAUCUGGUUCACUAAUGGAAGGAAAUUUGCUGGCCUUCAUGAAACAGGAACAAAGAGUCUGAUGUUUACAGAUGACGUUGCUUGGAUACACCAUGAAAGCAUGAUGCAUUGAACAGAUACUGGGAGUCAUUUAUCUGAGAUUCAUUUCAGCUUUUAAGAUCAGGUUUUACAGUACAAGCCGAACUCAGGCAAGUUUACUUUGAAGCUGUAGCCAGGUUGCAAGAAUAGACUGGGUGCACUGCGCCCAGCCUCUGUAAUACACAGAGGGCUUGGGUUUUUAUGUUGCCUAUCAUGUCAGAACAGAGAUUUGGAGGGCGGAGGGGGUUUAAAAAUGCUGGGCAGGACAGGAUUCUGGGACCCAAGUUCCCUUGCAUUCUGAAAUGGUGGAAGGCAAGUAGCAAGCCUGCAUCAUGCACUCCUGAACAGGCCAGCUCCGUUGCAGGGGUAAGCAAUGGAGCUUAUUCCAGGAACCUUGAAACCAUUGUUGAUUGUGGUAAAAACUAAUGUCCUUUAGGGAAGGAAAUCUGCUGUCCUUAUUUAGCCUACAUGAGACUUCAGCUCCACAAUAAUGUGGUUGACUCUUAAAUGCCCUCUGGACAAGGGCAAUUAGGGAUGGACAAUAAAUGCUGGCCUAGCCAGUGAUGCCCACAUCCCAUGAAUGAAUAAUUUAAAAAAACACCUUGGCAGUCAUCUGCCCCCAUGGUCCACUCUACUAUAUCACCCCCACCUUCCCAGAGUCCUUUACACUGAAGUGAAUCCACCGAGCCAGGAAAUUUUCCCAACUCCAACCAUCCCUCUCAGUAGCGAAAAUCAGGCCCAGGGUGCUUAAUGCCAGCUCCCAUGGUUGUUGACUGCUGUAGUUUAAUGUGGCACAGGGUAAGUGUAACAGCCAUAGCCCCAAGUACCAUACGUUAACUGUCUCUCUCGGUAAUUACUGUCUAAGACAUAAUUGGCCUAUGGAACACAUUAAAGCUGCUUCCUCAUUAACAGGGUGCACAAUCCAUGUUACAGCAACAGUUAAGGAGCUGGGUCAAGUCUUGUGUUGUCAGUUAUUUUUCUAGACUUUUGUGACAUCCUUCCAUUUUUGUGAUCAUGAUCCAAAGGUAAUAAUUAAAAACAGAACGGUGUUUGUAAA
Long non-coding RNA from Carcharodon carcharias (great white shark), 8828 nucleotides. RefSeq lists it as uncharacterized. The record is from RefSeq and is a predicted model, not a curated record. NCBI's taxonomy places the organism in Eukaryota, Metazoa, Chordata, Chondrichthyes, Lamniformes, Lamnidae. The transcript has 2 exons.